CAGCCGCGGUAAUACGGAGGGCGCGAGCGUUACCCGGAUUUACUGGGCGUAAAUGGCGUGUAGGCGGCCUGGGGCGUCCCAUGUGAAAGGCCACGGCUCAACCGUGGAGGAGCGUGGGAUACGCUCAGGCUAGAGGGUGGGAGAGGGUGGUGGAAUUCCCGGAGUAGCGGUGAAAUGCGCAGAUACCGGGAGGAACGCCGAUGGCGAAGGCAGCCACCUGGUCCACUUCUGACGCUGAGGCGCGAAAGCGUGGGGAGCAAACAGGAUUAGAUACCCCCGUAGUCCCUGUCUCUUAUACACA
Molecule: ribosomal RNA, 301 nt
Filed under: uncultured bacterium
Lineage: Bacteria
Description: partial 16S ribosomal RNA
Rfam family: Bacterial small subunit ribosomal RNA
Source: RNAcentral